AGUGGAGACCGCCGGGGUCGAACUCGGAGGAAGGUGGGGAGUGACGUCAAGUCAUCAUGCCCCUUACUGUCCAGGGCUUCACGCAUGCUACAAUGGCUGGUACAGAGAGUGGCGAGCCUGUGAGGGUGAGCGAAUCUCGGAAAGCCGGUCUCAGUUCGGAUUGGGGUCUGCAACUCGACCUCAUGAAGUCGGAGUCGCUAGUAAUCGCAGAUCAGCAACGCUGCGGUGAAUACGUUCCCGGGCCGUCGACGCGGCCG
This 257-nucleotide ribosomal RNA is filed under the name uncultured bacterium. Its description in RNAcentral is "partial 16S ribosomal RNA". It matches the Rfam family "Bacterial small subunit ribosomal RNA", at positions 1141 to 1387 of the family's 1533-position model. The record is from RNAcentral.